UUUUAAUUAAUGAGAUGUUGACAAGGUUUUGAAACUCUGUAUUAUUUUAAUUUUGUUUACUGAUCAUUUUUGUGAUGGUUAAUGUUUUGUUAGACUGAGGAAGGAAGAUGUAAUCAACUCUGCCUUUGCUUGGCUCCGGUGAAAGCUGGCCAGUGUUUUAUACAGAAAUCGAUGUUAUGCAAUGGUAGCUGUCUCCUUGCAAUGGCUCAGGGCCCCUCCAGUGAUGGAGGCACAAUUGAAUUUUGCUGCAAAGAGGAUGAAAAACAAAUAAUUGGAAUGCACUGGCUCUACAAGAAAUACUGCAUUGCCAUCUUUGGAAGGAUGCUCUUAGAGGAAAGACGACUAAGGAGCACCAGCACUGCCUGGCCAAAUCAUGCAGUGGUGCUGCCCUUGUGUUUUGACCAUCUCAAUCCUGUGUGCUGCUUGCACAGUGGAGAUGCACACAACCUUCUUCAGUUAUGAGCUAUGGAAACCCCACAAACAAAAGUCAGUGACAAACAUCAUCUAUAAGUGAAGAUUUAUCACCCAAGAUAAAGGUGACCUAAGACCUGUGGCCCUGUUUCUUGUUAUGUUUGUUGAUUGCUACAGAAGAGAAAAUCACAGUCUUGGGAACAAUUCCUUCAGCUUCUCUCCUUCCUUCUCACACGCCAAGGAACAAUGAAAGUGACCACCCCCAGCUUCCAAGAUGGAUGAUCAGCCAACCUGCACCUCAUGUGCUGCGCUGUCCACAGCUGCGAUGAGCUAACUCCUUGAGCACAAAGGACCGUCACCUAAUCCAGAACUACUGUGAGGAUCACAGUAAUGGACAGGAGCAUUUGAAAGUUACCAAGUGAUGAGAAUUCCUCAUGUUCUGUUAAGGAAUUAACAGAACAAGACAGAAAUUGAACUAUCUGAAGCAUAAUAUGUAUCAUCACCCCUCUU
Gallus gallus (chicken) is the source of this 921-nucleotide long non-coding RNA. NCBI's taxonomy places the organism in Eukaryota, Metazoa, Chordata, Aves, Galliformes, Phasianidae. The record is from Ensembl.